AUUGAACGCUGGCGGCAUGCUUUACACAUGCAAGUCGAGCGGCAGCGCGGGGGCAACCCUGGCGGCGAGCGGCGAACGGGUGAGUAAUGCAUCGGAACGUACCCUGGAGUGGGGGAUAACGCCGCGAAAGCGGCGCUAAUACCGCAUAUGCUCUGAGGAGGAAAGCGGGGGCUCGCAAGACCUCGCGCUCUGGGAGCGGCCGAUGUCCGAUUAGCUAGUUGGUGGGGUAAAGGCUUACCAAGGCGACGAUCGGUAGCUGGUCUGAGAGGAUGAUCCGCCACACUGGAACUGAGACACGGUCCAGACUCCUACGGGAGGCAGCAGUGGGGAAUUUUGGACAAUGGGCGCAAGCCUGAUCCAGCCAUGCCGCGUGAGUGAAGAAGGCCU
Molecule: ribosomal RNA, 387 nt
Filed under: uncultured bacterium
Lineage: Bacteria
Description: bacterial SSU rRNA
Rfam family: Bacterial small subunit ribosomal RNA
Source: RNAcentral